Molecule: long non-coding RNA, 860 nt
Organism: Quercus robur (English oak)
Lineage: Eukaryota; Viridiplantae; Streptophyta; Magnoliopsida; Fagales; Fagaceae
Exons: 3
Source: RefSeq, a predicted model, not a curated record
AACAAACAAAGAAUUGAGCAACAGAAAUGCCAGCUCUGUCAGAUAUAAUUGUUUUCACUGAUUGUUGUACAAAAGCCAACAUUUGGGGUUGCUAGAUAGCUCUUGCUUCUUAGUCUCAGUUCUCAAUGUUAAUGUCUUUUUCUGUGUCUCAGUCUUUCUUGAUAUAGCCCCAAAAACUGGGGCUUAAGCAUAACACAGAUAUCUCUUUUCCGGAUUUGUAGCUCCAUGAUAUAUACUUUCUCCUGAAUAGUCUUCUUCACUUUCGUGCUUUUGGUGUGUUUUUUUCUGUAAGUGUGUGUGGCUAUAAGUGUUAAGGCUUCAUAUUCCGGUUUUGGUUGAUUAAAGAAACGGCGAGUCUUGAAGCGUGAUCAUCAUUCAUCACUGCAAACAUUCUAGAAGCAGUGAUUGUGAUCUCGUGUUUGUAGUUCUUCCCCAAAAAAGUGAACGAUAAUUAUGGUUUCUGCGGCUUUGGCAUUGUUACCGACACUAUCAGUGAUCAAGCAGGCAACUAACGUUUUUGCAGGCAAUAUAUACAUGCAACAAGGUGAAGUUCGAGCAGGUGAAAGAUAAACUAUACCAACAUCGUUUAGUUCCAGUAUGUUGAGAUGGAACCUUGGAGUUGCUCUUUAAUUACUAAAGGAUAAGCCAACACACAUGGUAUGACUUAGCCCCUAGCUAGUUUUUUAGACAAAUAACUCAUUUAAUUCAACUAUUGCUCUACAUGUAUAUUACUUUUCUUUUUUUUUGUUCCGCUACAUGUAUAUUACUUCUGCAUGCAUAUAUGUUGAAUUUCCUUGUGUGGAUCUUUCCCCUAGAUCUGCUAAAUUGCUUUGCUGGUGUAAAGUUGUGUGUGGAAAUAU